Molecule: ribosomal RNA, 954 nt
Filed under: Triticum aestivum (bread wheat)
Lineage: Eukaryota; Viridiplantae; Streptophyta; Magnoliopsida; Poales; Poaceae
Description: partial small subunit ribosomal RNA
Source: RNAcentral
AUGGCGGACAAGCUGAGCCGGGAGCUGGUGCUGUACGCCGUCGGCCACACGGCGCUGCUCACCGGGGGCGGAGGGGGGAAGGGCCAGCUCGACUCGUUCGCCUCCAUCGCCUCCUAUGGCUUCCUCUCCGUCCGCACCCCGCGAUCAAUGAACCCAGAGGAUGGAGGGGACAGGAAUAGCGACUUGAUUCUCGAGCUAGCGCAGCUGCUCGACGUGUACGAUGCCCUCUACCCUGCCAAGGUUUCACAUUAGGAUGGGGAAAUUUCCCGGGUGGAUCCGCAGGAGCUAGUAGUCCCCAAGCUAUCCGAGAGGUUCAUGGGGCGGAGAGCUGCUAUCGUCAGCAAUUGCCCCAAUGUUAGCUCAUUCGCGGCGAAUCUUGGCUUCCACGUUUUUGGAACUGAGGAUUUUGCUGCGCAGUCAGGUUCUGGCAGCAUUUCUAAGGACACUAGAAUAAUCGACCGGGCGUUCACUCUGCUGGGAUUUGCAGAGGGGAAUGUACAGGAUGUGUCUGAAUUCGAUCUGGUGUUUGUGCAUGCCGCACUGGAGAACACAACCAACAAGCUUGGGAAAUUAGGGAUGAAGACGGAUCUCAACCGGCUUGACAAAUUGCUGGCUUCAGUCAUGGAAGCUGCGCCGGUCGGUUCAAUUGUCGCUGUCUGUAUUCAUGUUUCUGUUAUCUUGAGCUAUGGAUCAGCUACUGGAAAUAAGGAAGAGACAUGCCUCAUCUUGAACUCUUCAACCGAAACUGAUUCCGACUUGAAGUUACUCCGUCCACGCCAGAUCUACACUAUGAAAGCAGGAAAGACGUUGGAGGACGUCAGGAAUCAUCAUCCAAUGCUACUGGCACAGUGGUAACAAGGAGUAACACGUUCUGAUUUGGCCAAGGAGUUCUCUUUUGAGGAAUUUAUAAAGGUCUGCUUAAUGCACUUUUUAGAAUGUUUGUCUGAAUCAUAG